RNAcentral lists this unclassified non-coding RNA (234 nucleotides) under uncultured Yamadazyma. Its description in RNAcentral is "partial contains 5.8S ribosomal RNA, internal transcribed spacer 2, and large subunit ribosomal RNA". The record is from RNAcentral. Lineage: Eukaryota; Fungi; Ascomycota; Pichiomycetes; Serinales; Debaryomycetaceae.
AACGCACAUUGCGCCUCAUGGUACUCCGUGAGGCAUACCUGUUCGAGCGUCGUUUGACCCUAAGGCGUUGCCUUGCGUUGGCGGAUCUUGCGCGAGCGAGACUGCCGAAAUACAAUGGCACGAGUGUUUGUCUCACGCAGUGAAAUGCCGAAGGACGGACACGAGUGCUCGAAAGCUCUCAUGUUUGAGAUCAUGGUCGACCUCGGAUCAGGUAAGAUUACCCGCUGAACUUAA